AUGAAAGAAAUUUUUAAGAAGACAGUAGUAUGCCACUUACGAGUGGGGUACAGGGCCAGGGCUAAGGAAAGUCUGGUCCGAGUCUCUGCUCUGACACUUCAUCACCGUGAGAUCUGUGCAAAUGCAGUUAGUUUGUACCUCUUCCAUGCUCAUUUUCCCUUUAAAAUGAAUGUGAAUAGCACAUUGAUCUCAUUGCGUUGUUAUAAGGAUCAAAAAAUGAUAAACCACAUAAAGUUCUUACCACAUUAUCACAAAGCUAUUUAGAAAAAUGCUUUUUUUUUUAAAGAUUUAUUUUAUUUAUUUGAAAGACAGAGUUACAGAGAUAGAGACAGAGAGAGAGGUCUUCCAUCCGCUGGUUCACUCCCUAGAUGGCCACAACAGCCAGAAUUGAGCCAAUCUGAAGUCAGGAGCCAGGAGCUUCUUCCAGGUCUCUCACACGGGUGCAGGGGCCCAAGGACUUGGGCCAUCUUUUACUGCUUUUCCAGGGCACAGCAGAGAGCUGGAUUGGAAGAGGAACAGCUGGGACUAGAACCUGCGCCCAUAAGGGAUGCUGGCGCUUCAGGCCAGAGCUUUAACCCGCUGUGCCACAGUGUCGGCCCCAGAAAAGUGCUUUAUAAUACUAAAAGGACAAUAAUCAGCAACAGUUCUGAUUGUAGGGGUGGAAGAGCAAACAAGCGUAGGUGGCCAAAGUGAAUAUGAAUGAAAGGAGAGGAGACAUGGAUGGCAGGUUUUGAACUUGGGUUACAGGAAGUGAAACCAUAGAACCAGGAAAGGCAGGGGCGGCAGCUUUACCAGUCUUUGAACUGCCUUCUGGAUCAUCUUCUCCCUUUCUUCCAGAUUAAAACCAGUUCAAAGCCAAAACUCGAUUGGCUUGUUUCCUGCCUGUAGAGCCUCAACUUCCUUCACUUGAUCCAUUUCUCUACCCUUCAGUCUAAGCUGAACUGUUUCUGCUGAGGUGGUUGAUUGGAUCCAUGAGUCAUGGCCUAAUCUCAUUAGCAAACUAAGUAUUGUUCGGCCACCCUCUUGGAGUUUUCUCCACAGCAUGCUCUCUCUCUCUCUCUCUCUCUCUCUCUCUGUAAUAUGGAUAGGCUGAGUAUUUUCCAAAUCUGCAAGUUUUGGUUCCUUCUUAUUCUUUUUUUCUUGCAUUUUACCAUAAGUAGCAAGAACAAAAAAGGGUGUACCUUCAACACAUUGCUUAGAAAUCCCUUCAACUAAAUAUUGAAGUUCAUCACUUCUAAGUUCUACUUUCCCUCCAACACAAUAC
Molecule: long non-coding RNA, 1264 nt
Filed under: Oryctolagus cuniculus (rabbit)
Lineage: Eukaryota; Metazoa; Chordata; Mammalia; Lagomorpha; Leporidae
Description: lncRNA (ENSOCUG00000034568.1)
Source: RNAcentral